This is a long non-coding RNA of Erinaceus europaeus (western European hedgehog), 396 nucleotides long. RefSeq lists it as uncharacterized. The transcript has 3 exons. Lineage: Eukaryota; Metazoa; Chordata; Mammalia; Eulipotyphla; Erinaceidae. The record is from RefSeq and is a predicted model, not a curated record.
GUUCCUCCCCCUCCUCCAUCCUUUCUUCCUACACUCCCCGCUCCUUUUUCUCCCUUCUUCCUCCCUCCCACUCACACCCUCUAUUUUCCCUUCAUUUCACCAAAUGAUCCUGUGUCAGGUCCUAGAUUCAAGGACAGAGAAAAAUUGAGAGGUGGAGAGAAGGAGAGACACCUGUAGCCCUGAUUCACCAUUUGUGAAGCUUCCCCCUUCAGGUGGGGAGCAGGGGCUCGAACCCAGCUCCUUGCACAGUGUAAUUUGGGGAGGAAGGAAACCAAAGGAGAAGGAAGUUGACCAGCCACCUGAUGCAAUCAGACCCGCACCUACGCCAAACCGUGUAAACAUCAUUCUGAGCAGCGUCCUUCCCGGGAGGGCCAAGACAGCUGGCCGCUCGGGCUC